RNAcentral lists this ribosomal RNA (326 nucleotides) under uncultured eukaryote. RNAcentral's name for it is "partial 18S ribosomal RNA". It matches the Rfam family "Eukaryotic small subunit ribosomal RNA", at positions 1470 to 1796 of the family's 1831-position model. The record is from RNAcentral.
CCCUUAGAUGUCCUGGGCCGCACGCGCGCUACACUGAACGGAUCAGCGCGUUUUCCCUUCCCGAGAGGGACGGGUAACCUGCUGAACCCCGUUCGUGGUAGGGAUCGGGGCUUGCAAUUAUUCCCCGUGAACCAGGAAUGCCCAGUAAGUGCAAGUCAUAAGCUUGCGUUGAUUACGUCCCCGCCCUUUGUACACACCGCCCGUCGCUACUACCGAUUGAACGUUUUAGUGAGGUACUCGGACUGAGCCUCAGAAGAUUCACGUCUUUUGUGCUGCUCGGGAAGAUUCCCAAACUUGAGCGUUUAGAGGAAGUAAAAGUCGUAACA